This 198-nucleotide long non-coding RNA is filed under the name Fukomys damarensis (Damara mole-rat). Its description in RNAcentral is "lncRNA (ENSFDAG00000024938.1)". The record is from RNAcentral. Lineage: Eukaryota; Metazoa; Chordata; Mammalia; Rodentia; Bathyergidae.
CAAGGACAGCUUUCUUUCAGAUGAGGCUCAGGUCUGGGCAAAUGUGAUAAGCUGUAUUUUCAUGAACAUCUGCCCGUAAGUGAAAGACUCAUGAACGAUGACCUUCAUUAUUAGCCCAUGAGGAUUUCUUGAUCCAAGGUGACAUCCAGAAUAACUCGAUUCUCGUUUUCCCACAAGAUCACCUGCAUUCAAAGUAAC